This 8467-nucleotide long non-coding RNA is filed under the name Solanum lycopersicum (tomato). Its description in RNAcentral is "long non-coding RNA (SLYC_LNC000949)". Lineage: Eukaryota; Viridiplantae; Streptophyta; Magnoliopsida; Solanales; Solanaceae. The record is from RNAcentral.
AUUAUUGCAAUUUUUUUAAAGUGAUAUAUUCUUAGGGAACACAAUAUUCACACUCAUACUCAAACUUUUCAGAGAUGAAGCUAUGAAACUCCAAGCCUCAUCACUGAAACUCCAUCUUGAAGCUGGUAACACUCGAAGCUCUGCAAGCAAGUUUCCAUCUCGAAGCCUUGAAGAAAGUCCCCAUCUAGAAAGGUAAGCGCUCAAACUCCAUUUUUGAUAUCAAAGCUUCAGUUUACCAAAAAAUGAAUUUGUUGAUUCAGAUAUCAAGAGAAAUCAAUUUCCCAAGCUGGGUUUAUCAAUAACCAGUUAUAAAAUCAAAAUCCUUGUUCCAAUUUACAGUAUUGCCACAUUUAGGUCAUUCGAUUUUGAUGACUUUCAACUCUUUCACUAUGAAAUAUAGGAACCCCCAUUAGGAGGUCAAACAACUGCAUUAGUAUAUCAGAUUGACUCGGCAUACCAUUAUUUUUCAGUUUCAACUCGACAUACCAUUGUUUUCGAGCUGAAGAAUACGAACCCUAACUAGAAAUUGUUUUACUUGACCACUAAAAUAGAGAUUUUAGUAAUUUUGGUGUUACGAAAAUAUGAUAUUCUAAUGAUGAACUCUCUCCAUUUAGUUUAGCUUGUAGUAAGAUUGAAUUUUCUGAAAAUGAGGAAGAGGAAGAGUUUGAAGAAGAUAUAAAUAUUGACUAGUGCUUGAUAAUCUACUAUUGUAUUUUAAAUGUAUUUUGUUUAUUUCUGAUUUUAAAUUUAGGAUAAUGUUCUUUAGUUUCUUCUUUUAACUAUGUGUAUUCUAUAUCUUAUUUUAACUCUUAAUUAAAUCUACUAAUUGGAGUUUUAAUAAUUGUUAUACACUAGUUAACCAUGCAUUUAUUAGAAUUACUUACCGUUAAUACAGAGGAUUCCUUAUUAGAAUUACUUACAAUUAUUUACUAACUAGUAAACUUAGCCGUGCUAUGCGUGGUGUCUAAAAAUUUUCAUUUUUAUUUAAUUUUUAAAUUCAAAUAGAUUAUUUAAUAAAUUUUAUUAUUUAGCUUUGUAAUUUCAACUCAAUACAUGAAUUAAUUUUAUCAAAAAAUAAAUACCUGUACGGUCAAAUAUCUAUAUUUUUUUGGUUGAAUAGUACCUAUUAUUUUAUGUUAGUUAUAAUAUAUAAUUAAGAAUUUAUGACUUCAUUAUCCAUUUGAAUGAGUUCUCAAAAUUAAACAUGGUUAACUUUGAUGUUUUGUUAAAAAUUUAAAGUGAGAUUUUUAGUCUUUUAAAUUUUUUAAAAAAUAUCAAAAGAAUUAAAAUAUUAAUAAAUUCAAAAACAGACAUAGAAAUAUGAAAAAUUAUUCGUAAUAGAUAAGCUACCAAUAAUUUGAAGACUUAAACAAAAUAAUUCAAUAUUUAUAUAUUAAGAUAUAAAGUUCUUUGUAUAUUGAUUCUUUGAAAAAAAAAUGGGUGAUACAUGAUUUUUGUUCGGUAAAAUAAUUUUUAGUGAUAUACAAUUAACAUAAAAAUAAUAUAUUAUUGUUAAAAUGCAUAAUAAAAUAAGUAAUAAAUGAACAAUUAUAGAUGAAUGAUAAAAGGUUUUAUGGUAAGAUUAAAAAAAAACUUAUAUAUCUACUAAAAACUUAUAAUUAGACUCUUGAAUUUUUUCUGAAUAAAGUAAACAUAAAAAAACUGUUCACAAAUAAUAUGAAUAUUUAUAAUUAUUAACAAUAAUUAAUAUUUUCUUAUAAUUAAACCGUAGGAUAAAAAGUUAAGUAAAUUUUUAGAAUCAUUAUAAUGGAGGAUGAAUGGUUAAGUAAUAAGUAUAUUUGAAAUGAUUAUCUGUAUUAAUUUUUUCCUUGAUAAAUUUUCUUCUAUAAUUCUAUUUUUUUUAAAAAAAUUUAUUUCGUCGCUAUUUUUAGUCUCCCUUUUUUUUUUAGUCUUUGCUUAUUUAAUUCUAAUAAGAAAACAUAAACAAUUAGCAUCGUAAUUAAGAGAAUGAAGUUUGCUCGUCUUUAGUAUUUUUACUAAUUUAUAUAUAUUUUUGUAAAACAGUAACAAUUAGCAUCAAAUCUUAACAUAAUCAAGUUAGCUUGUCUUAAGCUUUUUAUUAAUUUAAGCAAAAUGUUUAAAUGAAUUCUCUUAAUUAAUUUUUAUUAUAUUUUUCAUGAUUCAUAUUUUAUUUAAAAUUUAAAAAUAACUUCAUAAUAAUUUUGAUUAUCUCCCGCCGCUAAGCGUAUCUACAAAUACAUUUUAAUGUUUUCAAGAAUUGUUUUUGUCUUACAAUUUGUAAUGAUCUUGCUCUUAUAAUUUCAUGCAAAAAAUAAAUCAAUUAUUUUCUUUUAUAUAUCUUAUUUUGUAUCAUUCUUAUUAGAAGUAAAAUAAUUAUACAAAGAAGUCUUUGUCGAUAGAUUUUGUAUUACAAGAUUAAAGUAGAGGACAAUUAAACUAAACAUAAGUAUAUUGGUUAGAAAUAUUUUUUGAUGUGAUUUUAAGAUGUCACAAAUUUAAACAUUAAGUAAUUUGGGGUUAUGAAGGUAUUUUUUUAAAGUUGGAAGUUAUAGGUAUUACUAAUAAGUAAUAAUUAAGUAUAGAGGUUUUGAAAGUUGAAGAGGUGUGAGUUUAUGAUAAAAAUUAAAUUAAUAAUAAAUAUAUAAAAAUAAGAGAAAAAGGUAAAAAAAAAAUAUGACAUAUUUUUUUAAUAAACAAAAAUAUAUUUAAGUAAAAUCCUCCACCAUUUUUAUGAUUUAUUUUAUUAUAUGACAUAUUUUCUUUUUACCUCAUUUUAGAAAUUUCAAAUUAUUAAAAGUCUCCAAAUAUACUUCUAAUAAUAAACAUUAUUUUUAGUAAUUACUAUUAUUUUGAACAAUAUAUAUUUUUUCUCUUAUUUUAUAUUAUAGGAGAGAUAUCUAUUAAGAGAAAAAUUAAUUAAAAAUAAAUUUAAAAAGGGACACAGAAUUAAAAAGUUAGUCAAAAGGAAUAGAAUUUUUUUUUGAAAUUAUCAAAAAAAAAUAAUCGUACGAAUGUUUUAAAAUAAAAUUUAAAAAUAUUUAAUUUUUUGCUGAUUAAAUUUUCAAAACUGUGAAACAUUUGGCCUAUAAAUAAUAAUUAUAUAUGAAUAAUAUAAAAAAUAAUGCAACAUUAAAAUUAUGUAUUUUUACCAUAUCAUUGUUAUGUGAUUGUGAGAUACGAAACUAUAACAGGAAUCGAUUUAUUUGAUUCUUAGCUAUAUAAUAUUUGAAUUUAAUAUUUAGUAUUUUAUUUACUUUACAUUGAGAUAUGAUAUAUUACAAUUUUUUAUUACUUAUAUUUAUUAUAUAUUUGUAUAACAUUUUUAUAGCUAGUGAGGAGGAUGAUAUUGUUAGACGAAAUUAGAAAUAAGAUAUAUUGGCGUUUUUUCAAUUAACUAAUUAAUCUGAUAAGGAACCAAUCAACUCUUGUUACAUCAGUGGUUUAAUCGGAGAAAUAUAAACAAUCCAUACAAUAAUAUCAACAAACAUACAUAAAAUUAAUUAACUAAUCAAACAAAAAUAUUUAAAAUAUAUGAUUCUUCAAAUUCACAAAGUGAAUAAAGACAAUCAGUGUCGAUAGAAACUACAAGAUUAAGAAAAAAAAUCUCAUAAAACUACAAACAGAAGCAAAAAAAAAAAAUGAACAAAUUAUUUUUUCUAUAAAAGAAUCAUGAUUUGUAUCAUCAACAACUCAACCUAAUAAUAUCAAAUAUAUAUGUAAUUACAACAGAACAAAGUGAUAAUGAUAAUUAAACAUAUUAAAUCAUUUUACCUCCCAAAAUCAAAAUAUGCAAAAUAUAUAACAUUUUUUAUCAUACAUCCCUCUCCUGCAAAAAUCAGAUCAAAGAAAACGAAAAAAAAAAUUAACAAAUCAAAGGUAUAAAAAAUGAAGAAUAAGGAAAAUAAAAAUAAAAUGACCAUCAUGGAAUAUCUCAAAGUGGGUUUUUAUAGGUGUAAUAUUUAGGAGUUAUAAUUUUUAUAUUAAAUAUUUUGAAGGUUAUGAAUAUGAAAGGUUAGGAGUUAGAAGGUGUAAUGCUCAUUAACUAAUUUAUUAAUAGCAAUAUAUAUAUAUAUAUAUAUAUAUAUACACACACACACAAUAUUAUUGUGUAAAAAGAAAUAAUCUAAAAAGCCCUUCUUUUAAAAAUAAAAAUAUAUAUUUUUCUCAUCAUUGAGGCAUGCCACAUAGGCCGAUUGAAGAUCCUCAUUUAUAUAUAUAUAUAUUGAUUGUUUCGAGUGUUUCACUCUAUUUUCUGUUAUUGUAGUAAUUUUCAUUAUGAGGGACAAUAUUUUAUUCUAUUUUAUAACAGUCAUGAUCUAACAACAAUAUAUAUGUUAUAUUUGUUCACAUAUGGCUCGAGGCUGAGGUCGUGGGAAAUUCUCAAGUAGGAGUGAUCCUGCUAUUCGUGUAAGCGUGCCAACUAUUUCCAUGUCCACUAUAGUUUCUCCUCAACAAGGUGGUAUCCAGACCACUGUAACAGUCAACUCAAAGUAUCAGUCCAACCAUCUCUGAGGCACCUCCAUCUACACAAAAUCAAUAUAACCUAUAGGUUAGAGUCUGUCUACUCUAAGCAACACAACAGAUCAUACCAACAAAGUUGUUGCAACAUCACAUCAGAGUAAAGUAAUAAGUAAGGAUGUCUUCUCAGAGUAAUCCAACAAAUCAUACUAACACAUUUGCUGCUACACCAAAUCAGAGUGACGUAAUAGGUCAGGGUCUGUUUCCUCUGAGUAACCCAACAGAUCAUACCAACACAACUGAUGAAGGUGAAUCUAGUAAUAGGCAUACACGGGCCUUCGUCUUUAUAACUCAUGUAGGAUUAGUCCAUUCUUUUGCUUUUAUCCUUGUAACUUAUUUCUACUUAUCCUUGUCUUUCUACUUAGGCUUCUUCCCUAAUUUUCUAACAUAGGAGUAUUGUUUCUAAUAUCAUAUCAUUUCUCCACCUUAAGUUGAGGUUUCCUAUUUUUGAAGUGUGUUUGUACCUAUUUUUAAAGUGUAUUUGUAUUCUAUUUGGCUUACCUAUUUUUAAAGUGUAUUUGUAUUCUAUUUGGCUUUACAUGCUUGGACCAUAAUGCUUUUGAAGAAAUUGGUUAAGCUUCAAGCUUGAAGCUUAAAAUGCAACAUAAUUUACUGAUGUCCUUCAUCGUUAAGUGUCUACAGACGACACUUGCAGCAGUUUCAGUUUAAUAGCUAUUGUAAAUGAAAAUUUUAAACUCAAUCUAUAGGUGUACAUUUAGGAUUUUUUUCAAGAGUGUAGCGACGUGCUGAUAAUUAUUUUGUGUUGCUUCUGUUCGAAUGUUUAUGAACUCAAUCUAUAUGAACAACAAAUGUUUAUUAUGUGUUGCUUCUGUUAGAAUGAACUGACAUUUCUUUGAUAUAGUGAGAAAAUAUGAAAGAGAUUGGUGUGACUUUCAUUGAAUAUUCAUGGUUAUAGCAUGUCUGUUUGUUAUUGAUUGUUUUGCUGUCUAGAAUACUCUCUAUAUACACUUCAAGUUGCAGACUAGUUUUUGUUACUUAGUCAUUGUAAUGCCAUCUUCUCAUUGUAAUACCAUCUGCUCUUAGUACAUCCAUGUAUGCACCCAUAUAAUUUUAUUCUUAGUCAGGUGAUGCAUCUGUUAGGUGCCUAGCUUAUUCAUGUUCUGAAUAUUAGAACUGCUGCGCAAAAAUCUCAAGUGAUGCAUCUGUCAAUUUCGCAGAUUUUCAAGUAAAAAAUUUGCAGAUUGCUAGGCAGAAUUUUAAGUCAAAAAUUUCCAGAUCAUGUGUGAUCUGAAAAUCACUUUAUAACUGCUAGAAUAUUUUUCUGCCUAUUUACUGUUAGUUUAUCAGUAAUAUGAUUAUUUAUUCUGUUAGAACUGACAAAUGACAAAUGCAAUGUCAUAUAGUAAUAUUAUUUUUGAUUUAUGAUAACCCUUCUAAUGACCUUUUCGACUUUACACAGGUUGGAACCUUCUAAAAUAUGCUCUAAUUUAUUAUUUAACUCUUUGAAAAGUGAAGUUGAUCCCAAUGGAAUCAACUGAAAAGAUGUCUCAAAUCAUAUACGAAAUGGUUAUUUUGGAGAAUACAAGAUAUAAUUUUUCAUCGUUAGUGAGUUUAGUAAGUAUAUUCACAUUUAUAGACAGGACGUUAUUGUAUUACAUUAAAAGAAAAUCAGAAAAAGUUCUACUGGAAUGUUUCCAUUAGUGAAAAAGAAAUAAAGAGACACUGGUUGGUUGAGGCAACAGUAAAAUAUAGGAAUUUCAUUUCUCAAACAAUAGGUGAAAUAGUUAGGCCAUUUUUUUGUACAUGAACAUGUGUGGAAAAGAUAGAUGCAACUUUGGGAAAGUUAUGAGUGUAUUCAGAGAGCAAAAAUGAAUGCAAAGAAUCGUCAUGUUGGCCGUGAAGUUGCUGUUGGAACUCACGGGGGCGACUUUAUAUCAAUCGGAGAAUAUCGCAAGAAACUUGUGAGUAUAUUUUUACGAACUCUUUAACUAACAUCUUCCUGUAUUGUAACGACCUGUUUAGUCGUUUUGAGCAGCAGAUUUUAUUUCUGGAAAAAUUGGCUGAAACAACGGAACCCACGACGGACCGUCACAGGCACGACGGUCCGUCACAGAUGUCUCGUUUCAAUAUACUUAGGAAUUCUGAAAUUGGGUACUGAAAAUCGACUCUCUGAACUUCGUAACGGACUUGCAGGACGGACCGUCACAGGUGUGACGGACCGUCACAGUGUCCUUGGUGAAAAUAAAGUCCUGGCCCUCACGACGACCUGAGUGACGGACCGUCGCAGUCACGACGGCCCGUCACAGGUUACGCAAUCCCAGUUAGAAUCGGAUUUCUUUUCACGUUUUAAGGGACGUUUUGGACUAUUCUUUCCUUAAUUAUAGAUUUCGUGGGUUUACAUUAAUAACUCAAAAUUCUUGAGGGAUAAAAGAGGUAAUUUUGGGUUAAUUAGUGGGGUAUUAUUGUCAUCUUUUACACUUAGUUAUAUGUUAAUUAGGGUAAAAGAAAGAGGGUUUUGAAUAAGAAAAGAGAAAAGAAAAGAGAGAGAUAGAUUGAUCGAUUGAGAGAGAGAGUCGAACGAGGAAGAAGAAUAUCAAAGCUUGGGAGAUUGCUUGUUGAUUCCAAUUCUUCGGUGGAGGUAGGUUAUGGUUAUUUCAUGCUAUUCGUAGUAAACUCUUAAUAGUGAAUGAUAUGUGUUAGUAGUAUUGUUAACCCUUCUAUAUGCUUAAUUGUAUGCUUGCAUGAAUGAUGUGAUUAUGUAAUUAUGAAUAAAUAAGCAUGAUGAAGCUAUUGAAUCCCAAAUCUUGAAAAGAAACCCUAAUCUACUUUGAUAAUGAUGAUGCUUUGGUAUGAAAGAAGGCUUGAUGAAUGAAAGUAGUGAGAUUAGGGGAUCGGGUGCCACGUUCCGGUACCAGGAUAGAAUAUGGAUCGGGUGUCACGUUCCGACACCAGGAUAGAAUAUAUAUGGAUCGGGUGCCACGUUCCGGUACCAGGAUAGAAUAUGGAUCGGGUGUCACGUUCCGACACCAGGAUAGAAUAUAUAUGGAUCGGGUGCCACGUUCCGGUACCAGGAUAGAAUAUGGAUCGGGUGUCACGUUCCGACACCAGGAUAGAAUAUAUAUGGAUUGGGUGCCACGUUCCGGUACCAGGAUAGUAUAUGAGGAUCGGAGUGUCACGUUCCGACACCAGGAUAGAAUAUGGAUCGGGUGCCACGUUCCGGUACCAGGAUAGUAUAUUGAGGAGCGGAGUGUCACGUACCGACACGAGGGGAAUAAAGAUAAUGAAUCUUGAAAUAUGAUAAUAUAUCCAAUCUAAUAAACUAAAUUCCCAAAUGAAUAUGAUGAGGAGGUGUGAGUCCUCAUUGAUGUGCUUGGUGUUGUAACCAAGGGUUAUGGUAACUAUAAAUGCUGCAUGUUAAGGAUAUUAGUUGAUUUUAUGAUAUUGCUUAAUACAUACUGUUCCCUAUUUUGAGUUGGCCGAUGAUAUCUACUCAGUACCCGUGGUUUGUACUGACCCCUACUUUUAUGUUUUUCUUCUUGUUAGUUGUGGAGUGCAGCAAACGUGCCGUCAUCUUCGACUCAACAGUAACUCAAGCCAGUCUUCGUCACACCGGAUCUUCAGGGUGAGCUAACGCGUCUAGCUUGGACUGGAUCUUCUCCUUCAUGUCUUGAUGCCUUGAACCUCCGGCAUGGACUAGCUUCUUAUGUAUUUUUAGCUUUUAGAAACUCUUAGAAUUAGUAGUUUAAAGUAGAUGUUCUUGUGAUGAUGACUUCCAGGUUUUGGGAAUAAUAGAUGUUGAAUAUUGAUAGUUAUUGAAUUGGUUUUUAUUAAUGAGUUUAAGUCUUCUGCAUUAUUUUCUGUUGAUGUUACAUUGAAAUGUUAAGGUUUAGAUUGGUUGGUUCGCUCACAUAGGAGGGUAAGUGUGGGUGCCAGUCGCGGCCCGGAUUUGGGUCGUGACAUGUAUGGUAUAUGUUUGUAUCUGAACACAUACUAUGCACUUAAUAUG